UAGGAAGUGAAUAAGAGCGUAUGGCGAAUGCCUAGGCUCUCGGAGACGACGAAGGACGUGGUAAGCUGCGAAAAGCUAUGGGGAGGUGCAAACAACCUUUGAUCCAUAGAUGUCCGAAUGGGGAAACCCCACAUUUUGAAGAAAUGUGAUUGCGCAAGCAAAGAAAACCCAGGGAACUGAAACAUCUAAGUACCUGGAGGAAAGGAGAACAAUUAGUGAUUCCGCAAGUAGUGGCGAGCGAACGCGGAAAAGCCCUAAAGUCUAUAUAUAAGGAGUAGAACAUGAUGGGAAUCAUGACCAUAGAAGGUGAAAGUCCUGUAAGCGAAGAUAUAUAUAGAUGAAACGAGUAAGGCGGAACCGGAGAAAUUCUGUCUGAAUAUAGCUGCACCAUCAGCUAAGGCUAAAUACUCCCGAGAGACCGAUAGUGAACUAGUACUGUGAAGGAAAGGUGAAAAGAACCCUAAAAAAGGGAGUGAAAAGAUCCUGAAACCGUACGCUUACAAGCGGUCGGAGCACUUCGGUGUGACGGCGUGCCUUUUGCAUAAUGAGCCUACGAGUUACUCCUCACUAGCAAGCUUAAGUACUUUAGGUACGGAGGCGCAGCGAAAGCGAGUCUGAAUAGGGCGAUUAAGUUAGUGGGGGUAGACGCGAAACCUGGUGAUCUACCCAUGGGCAGGUUGAAGCUUCGAUAGUAUCGAAGUGGAGGACCGAACCGGUAUAUGUUGAAAAAUGUUCGGAUGA
Molecule: ribosomal RNA, 741 nt
Filed under: Saprospiraceae bacterium
Lineage: Bacteria; Pseudomonadati; Bacteroidota; Saprospiria; Saprospirales; Saprospiraceae
Description: partial 23S ribosomal RNA
Rfam family: Bacterial large subunit ribosomal RNA
Source: RNAcentral